Molecule: ribosomal RNA, 492 nt
Filed under: uncultured bacterium
Lineage: Bacteria
Description: partial 16S ribosomal RNA
Rfam family: Bacterial small subunit ribosomal RNA
Source: RNAcentral
AGUGAACGCUGGCGGUAGGCCUAACACAUGCAAGUCGAACGGCAGCACAGUAAGAGCUUGCUCUUACGGGUGGCGAGUGGCGGACGGGUGAGGAAUACAUCGGAAUCUACUUUUUCGUGGGGGAUAACGUAGGGAAACUUACGCUAAUACCGCAUACGACCUACGGGUGAAAGCAGGGGAUCUUCGGACCUUGCGCGAUUGAAUGAGCCGAUGUCGGAUUAGCUAGUUGGCGGGGUAAAGGCCCACCAAGGCGACGAUCCGUAGCUGGUCUGAGAGGAUGGUCGGCCACACUGGAACUGAGACGCGGACCAGACUACUACGGGAGGCAGCAGUAGGGAAUCGUCCGCAAUGGGCGAAAGCCUGACGGAGCAACGGCGAGUGAGUGAUGAAGGUCUUCGGAUCGUAAAACUCUCUUAGGAGGGAAAAACAAAUGUGGACGUAACUAUGCACGUCUUGACGGUACCUAAUAAGAAAGCCACGGCUAACUACGUG